This 160-nucleotide microRNA precursor is filed under the name Oryza brachyantha (malo sina). RNAcentral's name for it is "MIR812 microRNA precursor family". It matches the Rfam family "MIR812 microRNA precursor family", at positions 27 to 191 of the family's 205-position model. The record is from Rfam by way of RNAcentral. Lineage: Eukaryota; Viridiplantae; Streptophyta; Magnoliopsida; Poales; Poaceae.
UAUAAUAUUUCACGCUUCGUCUUAUUAAAAAAUAUAAUUAAUAUUUUUAUUUUUAUUAGAUGAUAAAUCAUGAAUAAUAUUUUAUGUGUGACUAAUUUUUUUUACUUCUUAAAAAAAUUUCAAAUAAAACGGAUGGUUAAACGUUGAACACGGAUGGUCA